AGCUUCACACAGUGGCAAAAUCAUAGCCAGUGAGAUUAUCCAAGGUGCAAUUAUUGCUAAUUGAAAACUUUUCCCAAUACCCCGCCAUGACAACCUGAAAUACAGUGGGCAUUGGAAAUUGUUGACAGUCUAUAUGGAGA
Small nuclear RNA from Nycticebus coucang (slow loris), 140 nucleotides. RefSeq annotates it as U4 spliceosomal RNA. The record is from RefSeq and is a predicted model, not a curated record. The transcript has a single exon. NCBI's taxonomy places the organism in Eukaryota, Metazoa, Chordata, Mammalia, Primates, Lorisidae.